UCCCAAUGAAGAAACAUUCACGUCUUACUUCCUGUCUGGUCCCAGAAUUGGUAAAGGGUGAAUCCACUAGGGCUGGCUGUGAGAGAAGAGCAAAAUUUGUUCCAAAAAGAACUAAGGCAU
RNAcentral lists this small nucleolar RNA (120 nucleotides) under Urocitellus parryii (Arctic ground squirrel). RNAcentral describes it as "Small nucleolar RNA SNORD22 (ENSUPAG00010002367.1)". It matches the Rfam family "Small nucleolar RNA SNORD22". Rfam says of the family: U22 is a member of the C/D class of snoRNA which contain the C (UGAUGA) and D (CUGA) box motifs. The record is from Rfam by way of RNAcentral. Lineage: Eukaryota; Metazoa; Chordata; Mammalia; Rodentia; Sciuridae.